Molecule: long non-coding RNA, 2124 nt
Organism: Ananas comosus (pineapple)
Lineage: Eukaryota; Viridiplantae; Streptophyta; Magnoliopsida; Poales; Bromeliaceae
Exons: 6
Source: RefSeq, a predicted model, not a curated record
UGAAUCCACUGAUUAUUCCCAUUUUUUUUUGUUACAACUUUCGUAAUGUUUCGCCUUAUAUUUCUUUUUGCAUUAUUUCUGUUGAUUUCAUUAUUCGUUGUUUAUUCUUCACGUUUUUCGUUCUCUUGCUUCAGUUUUAAAUUUUUCUGUGGUCUUGCUUCUGGCUCUUCUUUGAGGCGAUGAUGAUAAAUAAGGAGAACUGUGAAUGAUGGCAAUUGCUCAUGUGCUUAGAUGCUUAGAUGCUACAAAGAGGAAAAAAAAGAGAUUUGGAUCACCCGAUACCUCGGCAACUAUCUCUUAAGUUUUGAUGUAUAACCUUUUAAGAGAAAAAGAUAUUUGGAUGGCCUAAUCCCUCGGCAACCAUCUCUAAUGUUUUUAUCUCUUGCCUAAGCUACUAAUCUUGGUUGAAUUGUUACAUUCCCUAAGCCUCUAUUUUCCUAUUUUAAUGUCUCCGAUUUUUCCCUAUUUUCCUAUUUUAAAGUCCUUGGGAUUUCGCUGGUUUUGUGUUUUUUUAAAGUCCUCAGGAUUCCUAUAGCUGCAUUUUUUGUCGUUAGUUUGUCAAAGCUAUGUUUUUUGGCUUACUUUUACAUACAUUUGUUUCUUUUUUGGGUGAGGGCGAGGGGGGCGGGGAAGUCCUUCGAAUACUUAGUUGUUUUACAUUAUUUUUUUGAGGUUUUGUGCAGGUUAGACUCUAUCCUUUCGCCUUUACUUCAACAUGGUUUUCACAAAAGAAAGAAAAAAAAAAAAAGAAUCCGUAGGUCCCUUUUUCGUUUCUGCAUGUUUCGUAUGCCUUCUGGCUGGCUGUUGGUUUUGCCUUUUUGGGGUACUUUGCCUUGACCUGUUUUUGUGCAUGCUAUGAUGACUACCUCUUGAAUGCCAUCAGAAUUUAAGCCAUCUAUUUUCCGAGGCUUUGCCUUUCCCUUUUUUCUUCCACGCUAUGCUGAUUAUACCCUUGAAUGUUAAAUGGUUGCGAUAAUUGAGAGGGGCCUAGGCUUUCUUGAUUAGUUAUGAGAGGACUUUGGAUGGCUUGCUUCGCAGGCAACCGGCAGUUCUCAUUUGUGCUAAGAAUAAUUGUGGUGCUGUAACACCCCACACUCUUAACUUCUUGUUUUAACUCCUAUUCUUUUAAAACUCGGACCUUUUCGUAAAUAUUAGUUUUUGAGGAACUCGGCGGCAUUUUAUGCCAAUUAAUCACUAAUUCCUAAUUAUCUCCACCAUCCGUUUAACCUAGCCGCAACCUUCCUUAAUUCCUCCCUUAUUGCACCCGUACGGCUCCACCCUCCCUCACGCGUGCACGACGCCGUUGAUCAUCGUCAUCGUCGCCGUCAUCCGCGGCCGCCACCACAAUCCUCAUCCGUCGACAUUUUUUUGAUUCGUCGUCGACGACAUUUCAUCAUCAUUGUUUCUAUCUUUAAGAAGGUUCCGACGAUUGAAUUUUCGGCGCAUUCUCGACUGGAUAUUUUUAUCUAUCUUUGAGGUAUUCGUUAAGGUACUGAGACCGAUUCGCAGGGCGGGGCUGGGAGCGAGUGAACGUUAGAUGUAAUAAAGUUAGGAAUUAGUUGGUGGAGUUGGUCUCAUAUGUUGAUAAACUGAACAUUGAAUCCAUCAUGGAAAUAACUAAUUUUAUAUCCGGCAAUUGGCGACCAUUUUAUUGUACACAACCAUUUUAUUGUGUUGGAAAGGGGUAUGAGUUUUCUUCCCUGGCAAUCAGGUGAUCACUUUUUUCGUUCCAAUUCACAAUCUGUAUUUAGCACUAUUUUUUAUUAUUUGGUGGUUGCAACAGCUUUAGGUUUUGCAUGCACACUUAUGCAAAUUUCCUUCCUGUUUCAGGCCCAAAGUCUAGGUUGGGUGGUAUAUUUAAUCUUCCUAUAUCCUUAAUUAAUGGACAAUUCCAUUUCCAGUUAUCAAGAAUCGAGUCGGCCUUCUGCUGCUGAUUUGAGUAUUUCGUAUUUAUCACAACUCACGAUUCUUGGUGGCUCCAAAAGGUCCGGAUUUUAAUUCCUAGUUUUAUUUUGUGGCGCACUUUAUCUUCCACAUUUUUGUCAUACAGAGGGAGAGAGAGAUUUUAAAAUUUUAAUUUCCGAAUUUUAUAUUUUUAUAUUAAAAUUUUAAAUUUAACUAUUA